CCUACGGGAGGCAGCAGUGGGGAAUAUUGCGCAAUGGGCGAAAGCCUGAUGCAGCUAUGCCGCGUGAGGGAUGACGGCCUUCGGAUCGUAAACCUCUUUCAGCGGGGAAGAACGGGCACUGUGCUAAUAAUCAGUCAAUUGACGGUACCUGCAAAGGAAGCACCGGCUAACUCCGUGCCAGCAGCCGCGGUAAUACGGAGGGUGCGAGCGUUAAUCGGAAUUACUGGGCGUAAAGCGCUCGUAGGCGGUAUGUCAAGUCAAGGGUGAAAUCCCCGGGCUCAACGUGGGAACUGCCUUUGUGACUGGCAGGCUGGAGUGUGUGAGAGGGGAGUGGAAUUCCAGGUGUAGGAGUGAAAUGCGUAGAUAUGUGGAGGAACACCAGUGGCGAAGGCGGCCAUCUGGAACAUAACUGACGCUGAGGAGCGAAAGCGUGGGGAGCAAACAGGAUUAGAUACCCUUGUAGUC
This 465-nucleotide ribosomal RNA is filed under the name uncultured bacterium. RNAcentral's name for it is "partial 16S ribosomal RNA". It matches the Rfam family "Bacterial small subunit ribosomal RNA", at positions 338 to 795 of the family's 1533-position model. The record is from RNAcentral.